This 503-nucleotide ribosomal RNA is filed under the name uncultured Glomus. RNAcentral describes it as "SSU rRNA". It matches the Rfam family "Eukaryotic small subunit ribosomal RNA", at positions 569 to 1074 of the family's 1831-position model. Lineage: Eukaryota; Fungi; Glomeromycota; Glomeromycetes; Glomerales; Glomeraceae. The record is from RNAcentral.
GGCAGCCGCGGUAAUUCCAGCUCCAAUAGCGUAUAUUAAAGUUGUUGCAGUUAAAAAGCUCGUAGUUGAAUUUCGGGGUCAGUAGGUUGGUCAUGCCACUGGUAUGUACUGGCCUCACUGAUUCCUCCUUCCUGAUGAGCCGUAAUGCCAUUAAUUUGGUGUUGCGAGGAAUCUGGACUGUUACUUUGAAAAAAUUAGAGUGUUUAAAGCAAGCUAACGCUUGAAUACAUUAGCAUGGAAUAAUGAAAUAGGACGUUCGAUCCUAUUUUGUUGGUUUCUAGGAUUGACGUAAUGAUUAAUAGGGAUAGUUGGGGGCAUUAGUAUUCAAUUGUCAGAGGUGAAAUUCUUGGAUUUAUUGAAGACUAACUACUGCGAAAGCAUUUGCCAAGGAUGUUUUCAUUAAUCAAGAACGAAAGUUAGGGGAUCGAAGACGAUCAGAUACCGUCGUAGUCUUAACCAUAAACUAUGCCGACUAGGGAUCGGAUGAUGUUAAUUUUUAAUGA